Molecule: long non-coding RNA, 241 nt
Filed under: Olea europaea (common olive)
Lineage: Eukaryota; Viridiplantae; Streptophyta; Magnoliopsida; Lamiales; Oleaceae
Description: long non-coding RNA (OEUR_LNC003510)
Source: RNAcentral
AAAUGAAGGAAGGGAAACUGAAAUUGAGGUGGAGCAAGUUAAUAAUGAUAAUCUACAACAUGAUCAAAUUGAAAAUAGUGAAAUUGAGGCUCAAAAUGAUGAAGAAACUGAUCAAAAUGAAUUUGAUUUUGAGGUUAAUCAACCCUUAAAUGAUUAUCAACUUGCUAGAGAUAGAGAAAGGAGAGAAAUAAGACCAACUGUGAGAUUUGAUGAUGAAAUAUCCCUUCUCACUGUUCAGGGG